GUUAUUGAAGAAUCAACUAUAAAGCCUACAGAAAUACCAGUGCAAAAAGGAAUGGCAGCUCAUGACACAGCUGUGGUGGUAGUUUUGCCAAUUAUCUUCAUAGCCAUCAGUGCAGGACUUGCAGCCUAUAUUUUCUACGGAAGAAACCAACCACAAGAAGAUUUGACAAUUCUUUGUAUAGUGACAAUGUGGUUGGAUUUGACAAUUCUUUGUAUAGUGACAAUGUGGGUAUUGUACAUAAGGAUUUCCAAUCUCUUGUAGACAACCAAGAAUUAAAUUAACAAAUAUAACUGGAAAA
This is a long non-coding RNA of Crotalus tigris (Tiger rattlesnake), 298 nucleotides long. RefSeq lists it as uncharacterized. NCBI's taxonomy places the organism in Eukaryota, Metazoa, Chordata, Lepidosauria, Squamata, Viperidae. The record is from RefSeq and is a predicted model, not a curated record. The transcript is spliced from 2 exons.